Molecule: ribosomal RNA, 916 nt
Filed under: uncultured archaeon
Lineage: Archaea
Description: bacterial SSU rRNA
Rfam family: Archaeal small subunit ribosomal RNA
Source: RNAcentral
UUCCGGUUGAUCCUGCCAGAGGUUACUGCUAUCGGGGUCCGACUAAGCCAUGCGAGUCGAGAGGGUAAAGCCCUCGGCGUAAUGCUCAGUAACACGCGGAUAACCUGCCCUUGGGUCCGGGAUAACCCCGGGAAACUGGGACUAAUACCGGAUAGAUCAAAGACACUGGAAUGUUCUCUGGUCCAAAACUCCGGUGCCCAAGGAUGGGUCUGCGGCCUAUCAGGUUGUAGUGGGUGUAACGUACCUACUAGCCGACGACGGGUAAGGGUUGUGAGAGCAAGAUCCCUGAGAUGGAUUCUGAGACAUGAAUCCAGGCCCUACGGGGUGCAGCAGGCGCGAAACCUUUACACUGCGGGAAACCGCGAUAAGGGGACCCCGAGUGCCAGCACCUAGUGCUGGCUGUCCAGCUGUCCAAAUAACAGUUGUUAGCAAGGGCCGGGCAAGACCGGUGCCAGCCGCCGCGGUAACACCGGCGGCCCGAGUGGUAGCCGCUAUUAUUGGGUUUAAAGGGCCCGUAGCCGGCCUAUUAAGUCUCUUGGGAAAUCUGGCGGCUUAAUCGUCAGGCGUCCAAGAGAUACUGGUAGGCUUGGGACCGGGAGAGGUGGGAGGUACUCCAGGGGUAGGGGUGAAAUCUCGUAAUCCUUGGGGGACCACCGAUGGCGAAGGCAUCCCACCAGAACGGGUCCGACGGUGAGGGACGAAAGCUGGGGGCACGAACCGGAUUAGAUACCCGGGUAGUCCCAGCUGUAAACGAUGCUCGCUAGGUGUCAGGUGCGGUGCGACCGCAUCUGGUGCCGCAGUGAAAACUUGAAGCGAGUCACCUGGGAAGUACGGUCGCAAGGCUGAAACUUAAAGGAAUUGGCGGGGGAGCACUACAACGGGUGGAGCCUGCGGUUCAAUUGGAUUCAACGCCGGA